RNAcentral lists this ribosomal RNA (478 nucleotides) under uncultured bacterium. Its description in RNAcentral is "partial 16S ribosomal RNA". It matches the Rfam family "Bacterial small subunit ribosomal RNA", at positions 28 to 507 of the family's 1533-position model. The record is from RNAcentral.
GAUGAACGCUGGCGGCGUGCCUAACACAUGCAAGUCGAACGAGAAGUGAAGACGCAUACUCUCCGGCGGAAGGCUUUAUUUCGAGUAGCGGCACGGUGAGUAACUCGCUGGUAACCUGCGUUAUACAGGGGGAUAACAGUCUGAAACCACUGUUUAUAUCGCAUAAGACCACACCAUCGUAUGAUGCGGUGGUAAAAACACGGAUAGUAUGAGAGGGACCCGCGUUGGAUUAGACAGUUGUCGGGGUAAAGCCCCACCAAAGCGACGAUCGAGAGCCGAUCAGAGAGGCUGAGUGGCGACACUGGGACUGAGACACGGCCGAGACUCCUACGGGAGGCAGGAGUGGGGAAUAGUGCACAAUGGGGGAAACCCUGAUGCAGCGAGGACGCGUGAGUGAUGAAGUAUGUAGGGAUGUAAAGCGCUAUCAACAGGGAAGAUAAUGACGGUACCUGAGCAAGAAGCCCCGGCUAACUACGUG